RNAcentral lists this ribosomal RNA (377 nucleotides) under uncultured bacterium. RNAcentral describes it as "bacterial SSU rRNA". It matches the Rfam family "Bacterial small subunit ribosomal RNA", at positions 523 to 898 of the family's 1533-position model. The record is from RNAcentral.
AAACGUAGGACGCAAGCGUUAUCCGGAUUUACUGGGCGUAAAGCGCGUGCAGGCGGCACGGUAAGUCGGACGUGAAAGCUCCUGGCUCAACUGGGAGAGGUCGUUCGAAACUACCGAGCUUGAGGACGGUAGAGGAGAGUGGAAUUCCGGGUGUAGUGGUGAAAUGCGUAGAUAUCCGGAGGAACACCAGUGGCGAAGGCGGCUCUCUGGGCCGUUCCUGACGCUCAGACGCGAAAGCUAGGGGAGCGAACGGGAUUAGAAACCCCGGUAGUCCUAGCCGUAAACGAUGGAGACUAGGUGUGGGGAGGUUUAAACCUCUCUGUGCCGUAGCUAACGCGUUAAGUCUCCCGCCUGGGGAUUACGACCGCAAGGUUAAA